CCUACGGGGGGCAGCAGUGAGGAAUAUUGGUCAAUGGGCGCGAGCCUGAACCAGCCAAGUAGCGUGAAGGAUGAAUGCACUGCGGGUUGUAAACUUCUUUUAUCAAGGAAUAAAGUGAGGCACGUGUGCCUUUUUGUAUGUACUUUAUGAAUAAGGAUCGGCUAACUCCGUGCCAGCAGCCGCGGUAAUACGGAGGAUCCGAGCGUUAUCCGGAUUUAUUGGGUUUAAAGGGAGCGUAGAUGGGUUGUUAAGUCAGUUGUGAAAGUUCGCGGCUCAACCGUAAAAUUGCAAUUGAUACUGGCAGCCUUGAGUACAGUUGAGGUAUGCGGAAUGCGUGGUGUAGCGGUGAAAUGCUUAGAGAUCACGAAGAACUCCGAUUGCGAAGGCAGCUUACUAAACUGCCACUGACAUUGAGGCUCGAAAGUGUGGGUAUCAAACAGGAUUAGAUACCCCAGUAGUC
Molecule: ribosomal RNA, 460 nt
Filed under: uncultured bacterium
Lineage: Bacteria
Description: partial 16S ribosomal RNA
Rfam family: Bacterial small subunit ribosomal RNA
Source: RNAcentral